AUUGAACGCUGGCGGCAGGCCUAACACAUGCAAGUCGAGCGGAUGAAGGGAGCUUGCUCCUGGAUUCAGCGGCGGACGGGUGAGUAAUGCCUAGGAAUCUGCCUUGUAGUGGGGGAUAACGUCCGGAAACGGGCGCUAAUACCGCAUACGUCCUGAGGGAGAAAGUGGGGGAUCUUCGGACCUCACGCUAUCAGAUGAGCCUAGGUCGGAUUAGCUAGUUGGUGGGGUAAAGGCCUACCAAGGCGACGAUCCGUAACUGGUCUGAGAGGAUGAUCAGUCACACUGGAACUGAGACACGGUCCAGACUCCUACGGGAGGCAGCAGUGGGGAAUAUUGGACAAUGGGCGAAAGCCUGAUCCAGCCAUGCCGCGUGUGUGAAGAAGGUCUUCGGAUUGUAAAGCACUUUAAGUUGGGAGGAAGGGCAGUAAGUUAAUACCUUGCUGUUUUGACGUUACCAACAGAAUAAGCACCGGCUAGCUUCGUG
This 484-nucleotide ribosomal RNA is filed under the name uncultured bacterium. RNAcentral describes it as "partial 16S ribosomal RNA". It matches the Rfam family "Bacterial small subunit ribosomal RNA", at positions 30 to 507 of the family's 1533-position model. The record is from RNAcentral.